UUUUUUUAGUAAUUCUAUACCAUUUUUAUAUGUAGUUACAGUCUGUGUAGCUUAAUUCUUUUAUUUGACUAUGUAUAGAUAUGUAUGGAAAGGACUACGCCGCAGCCUCUUCUUCGCGGAUUCUCAACACUAGUGAUGAAGCCGUAGAACCAUCGUCACGUCAUGACGGUCACAACACCUUGGGCACAUACAAGGAUGGGCAGGACAACUGCACAUCCACUGGUCAUGAUGAGUCCGGCACCGCCACAAAUCCUGAAGCCGCGGCCGAUCGCGACGAAGGGACCGACCAAGGGGACCAGGCAGCUGGACAACACAAAAGGCAACGCAAGCCUAGGCGCCGAAACAUGCUCGGCACCGAUAGGAUUGUUAUCAACCGAGUGUCUGAGGCGGGUCUACCUGUUAGUCCCAAGAAGGCCAAACAAGGUUACAGGAAUGCACUAGGCUGCAUCCUUCGCGAAACCGUGAGCAUUAAUGAAACCAAUCUCAGGUCGAAAGCGAACGGGAAUUUGCGAGCGCUCCUCAUAUCGAAGCUGCACACUCAUUACAAGUUCCCGGAUGUAUCCCUCAACGAGACCACUCUGGUAAACAACAGAGCCCUCUGCAAGUGGUCCAAGCUUUUGAGUAGUUGGAAAUCCAAGGCCAAAAACGAAUACCUUAAGAAAGAUUAUGAAACUGAGAUAAAAAAGAUGUGGCCUUCGGUUUCCGAGGAGGACUGGAACCUGUUCAAGCAGCACUGCGAGACCCCUGAAGUCAAGGAGAUGGAAAAAUGGGGAAAGGAUAUGCGGGCUAAGAACAUUGGUAACCACACCCUUGGAAGCCGUGGUUACCCAGGAAAGAAGCCGAAGUGGGACAAGCAGGACACUGAAUUCACUGCAGCAGGCGACUAUCCUGUCAUGGUGUUGGAGACGAGGAGUAGGAGGGCACACGCAUCGGAGACCGCGUUGCCGUCGCCGCAGCGCCCUCAACUCACGCACGCUGGAAGCAGGGGGAAUGCGCCGACCAGUGGCCGCUCCGGUAAGUACAAGACUCUCUAGUUCCACAUCGGUAGUAAUCGCCGAGUAGAUUAACUAAGACUUGUAGCUGCACAGUAAUAGGGUUACAUGGGCUGGAACAGGGGGGAGUAAUAAGGAGAUCUGUUUCUCUCCUACUUCAGCGACACUUUUUUGAUUCGUUUUUUAAGCUGGAAACCCAGUUCACGUGUAUGAUAUAUCCUUCUUGUUUUUAGACGACCCAGGUGAUUUACCAAUCUUUUCCAGAAAAUCCAGUCUCUUACAGUUAGAUUGUCUAGUUUGUGAUUAGGUCCCACUGCUUGAAGCUGUAGAUAGUUCUUUGAAUAAUGGUAUGAAUAACCCAAAAGCAAUCCAAUCCCAUAAAAGGGACAUUUUUAUACAUGGUUGGAACUUCUGAUGCGUAUAGUAAAGUAUCGAAGAGGUAUUGAGGAAGUUACAUAUUCUCUGGCAGUGUGGUUAGUGGUGCUUAUAGCAUCAAGGAGGGAUCAUAUGUAUGAAUAUGUAGUGGUAUUUAUAUCAUUAAGUCAAGCCCUUGUGUCAGACAGAAUUUGCUGGGCAUGUAAGGUCGACUGGUCUGUGCUUUUUGUAAGUGAUAGUGAUCCCGAGUCGGUUGAAAACGUGGACUCUAGAUUUUCUGUAAGCUGUCAAAUUUUCAUGAUAUAUAUUCAGAAGUAUAUGUUCUACUGAAAUGCCCAAUUGAUGGUGUUUCUACAGGUCAGGUUAAUGAGGAUGUCGAGAGCAGAUUCCAGCAUUUGGCAAGUUCAGUACAAAAUGAUGUUAUGCAGUUAAAGGCGACGACCAGAGAGGACGAGGGAGGCACGCACACCCAAGACGUCGUUGCCGUCGUUCCACGGAUGACGAGGAAGAGGGCAAGGGAGGCAUGCGCAUCGGAGACUGCGUUGCCAUCGUUGCAGCACACUCGACUCACGCGUAAUGGGAGCAAGGGGGAGGCGCCGACCAGUGGUUGCUCCGGUAAGUGGAAGACUGUAUUAGCACCAUAAAUCUUUUUAGUCCCACAUUGCAUUGGUAGUAGUAAACACCAAAUUGAUUACCUAGAGACCUGUAGCUGUACAGUGAUAGAGGUGUAGGCAUAAAUGUCUACGGUUACAGAGUGAAAAAACCCGAACUCACAUGUAUAUAUAUAUAUAUAUCCUUCUGAUUUUAAGAUGACCCAAGUGAUUUAACACUCUUCCAGAAAAUAUCUUACAAUUAGAUUCUCUAGUUUGUGAUUAGGUCCCACUGCUUGAAGCUCUAGACAAAUAUUUGGAUAAAGCUGUCAAAUUUUCAUGAUAUUCAGAAGUAUAUGUUCUGGUGAAAUGAAAUGCCCAAUUGAUGGUGUUUCGACAGAUCAGGUUAAUAAGGAUGUCGAGAGCAGAUUCCGGCAUUUGGCAAGUUCAGUACAAAAUGAUGUUAUGCAGUUAGAGGCAGCGACUGGAGAGGACGGGGGAGGCGCGCGCAUCCAAGACCUCGUUACCAUUGUUACACGGAUGACGAGGAGGGCGGCGAGGGAGGCAUGCGCAUCAGAGACCGCAUUGGUGUCAUUGCAACGUAUUCGACUCACACGCGGCGGAAGCAGGGGGGAGGCGCCGACCAGUGGCCGCUCCGGUAAAUGGAAGACUGUACUACCAUCGUAAAACUUUUUAGUCCCGCAUCACAUUGGUAGUAGUAAUCACUAAAUAGAUUACCUAGAGACCUGUAGCUGUACAGUGGUAGAGGUAUAGGCAUAGAUAUCUAGGGUUACAGGGUGACAAAAAACCAACUCACAUGGAGGCAUCACUGGAUCGCAAGUCCCCCCUAAUUCGUACUUUUGGUGAAAAGGGCCAUCAUAACUGGUGCUAGUUAUUUCCCCAGGAGUUAUCCAGAAGAUAUCUUACAAUGGGAUUAUCUAGUUCGUGAUUAGGUCCGACUGCUUGAAGCUAUAGAUAAAUCUUCAACUAAUGAUAUGGACAUGACAAGUCUUAGUAGCCUACUACUGAAACUAGAUGAAAUAACAUCCUUAUAGCCCAAAGCCCAACUAAUUGCUAGCUGUCCCAGCUGCGACACCUGCAAAGGAUUAUAUGGUUGGGUAAGCAAUUGAUAACCCAAGGACAAUCCAAUCCGAUAACAGGGGAAUUUUUAGUUCUAGUUCCUAGCAAAUAUUUAGUUCCUAGAAAUUUUCAGUAAUUAUGGAUUUGAUAGAUAUUUUUUUAGUAAUUCUAUAGCAUUUCUAUAUGUAGUUACAUUUUGUGCUUAAUUAUUUUAUUUAACAAUUUACAGAUAUGUCUGGAAACGACUCCGACGCAGCCUCUUCUUCACGGACGAUAAGCGCGGGCGAUGAAGCUGUAGAACCGUCACCACGUCAUGGCGAUCCCGACGCUUUGGGCACAUUCAUGGAUGGGCAGGACGACUACACAUCCACUGUUCAUGAUGAGUCAGGCACCGCCACAAAUCCUGCAGAUGCGACCGAUCGUGACGAAGGGACCGGCCAAGGGGACCAGGAAGCUGGACAACCUAAAAAGCAACGCAAACCUAGGCGCCGAAACAUGCUUGGCACCAAUAGGAUUGUUAUCAACCGAGUGUCUGAGGCGGGUCUACCUCUUAGUCCCAAGAAGGCCGAACGAGGUUACAGUAAUGGCCUAGGCUGCAUCCUUCGUGAAACCGUGAGCAUUAAUGAAACCAAUCUCAGGUCGAAAGCCAACGAGAAUCUGCGAGCACUCCUCAUAUCGAAGUUGCACACUCAUUACAAGUUCCCGGAUGAGUCCCUAGACGAGACUACUCCGGUAAAUAACAGAGCCCUCUGCAAGUGGUCCAAGGUUUUGAGUACAUGGAAAUCCAAAGCCAAAAGCGAAUACCUUGAGAAAGAUUACAUAACUGAGAUAAAAAAGAAGUGGCCUUCGGUUUCUGAGGAGGACUGGAACCUGUUCAAGCAGCACUGCAAGACCCCUGAAGUCAAGGAGAUGGAAAAAUGGGGGAAGGAUAUGCGGGCAAGGAACAUUGGCAACCACACCCUUGGAAGCCGUGGUUACCCAGGGAAGAAGCCAAAGUGGGACAAGCAGGAUGCUGAGUUUGCUGCAGCAGGCAUACCAAACCCCUUCAAGGAAUUUGAAAACCCGCGUGAAAAUGAUUACAUCAGGAGCCGGUGCAAAUAUGAUGAAGAGACUAAGACAUGGGUCUUGGACGAGAAAACGAUGAAAGUCAAGGAACUCCUGGUAAUUGAUUAACCUGCUUAUUUUUUGUUAUGCU
This 4232-nucleotide long non-coding RNA is filed under the name Hordeum vulgare. Its description in RNAcentral is "long non-coding RNA (HVUL_LNC017210)". The record is from RNAcentral. Lineage: Eukaryota; Viridiplantae; Streptophyta; Magnoliopsida; Poales; Poaceae.